Molecule: long non-coding RNA, 6633 nt
Organism: Frieseomelitta varia
Lineage: Eukaryota; Metazoa; Arthropoda; Insecta; Hymenoptera; Apidae
Exons: 2
Source: RefSeq, a predicted model, not a curated record
ACUGAAAAAAAUGUUUGUUAAAUUAGUGUGAAAGGAAACGAAGACGAGGAGAGAAAGAGAGAGAAUAUUUAAGUAUUUCAAAGAAAGAAAAAAAGAAAGAAAAAAAAGCAAAAAAAAAAAAAACGGAAAAAAAAGAGAAAAAAACAAACGUAGCGAAUGAUUGAUGAGCGGCGAGCGAGAGUAUUUUCCACAAUCGACGAAUCGAUCGAGAAUCGUGCACGAAACAACGAGGACGACCACCCGGCCACGAUUGUUCGAACUGGUUUACAUAUUUUACGCCUGCUUGCGAGAAAUUCGUCGGGUGUGCCGAACGAACGUGCAGAGUCGAUACAACUCUAACGCUAACUCGAUUCUAAAGUAGAACCAAAUUCAAUUUCUCGAUUCUGUACGAUCGAUCGAGCAUUCUUCGAGUCGCGUCCGGGAUGUUCGGGAAACGCGUGAUCUUUGCUCAAUACGAGAGAGAAGCUCCUCGAUCGGUAUGCGCGUCGUCGUGCGCAAAUUUUCAUUUCGAAUCAGUCGUUGUUUGUAAUUCGUAUGUAACAGCAGAACGCAAAGGGUAGCACGAUUCUUGUUUCUCGUUGUUCGACGAUAUACCGAUAGAAUAUGCACACAGACAGAAGAAAAUGUUCCUAUCGAGAGCGCAAAGUAUUUUCUACCGACCGUAGAUCGACCAAAGACAAACAAACCUUUCUUUUCGUGGACAAGAUUCGACGCGUCGCGGUGGUGGUCGCCCUCGUCGAUGCACUGACAAACGUAAACGAACAAGAAAGCAUGGCACGGGCGUGCACACGACAAGACCAUGUGAGUUCAAAUCGCGUUGUAACGAAAACUGCCAACUUCAUAUUGCAAUAUACGUUUUAGUCAAUCGUGGCGAUGCACGGGAAAAGAAAUAAAAAAAAAAAUAAUAAUAAUAAUAAACCAGUCGACGAAACAAAGGAAUUAGAGAAAAAAAAAAAAAAAGAAAUAUAAGGACUAAGCGACUAAGGAAUUGGGAAAUCUGUCUGGAUGGGUGUUAAACACCUAGAGACCUAUUUUCGGUUGGAACGAUCGAUCGAUAGCAGGAGAAUACUCGGAGCAACGUUUCUCCCGUUAUUUUCGUUCGCACCCAGUUCGAUUUCACGACGAACGAUCCGCUGGCGUUCGCUGUACCGCCGCUUACGCUGUUCGCGUCGACGCACGGGACGAAACACGCGCGCAAGAGCUCAACGAUCUCGACGAACAUUUCGAUCAACUCGAACAUUAGCGAUGUAUCUUCGAACGGAUAAACCGUGUUCAACGUGUUUUGUAACCUGUAUCCGUUCCCUUAGGUUUCGUAGCCGAACGACAAAAAUGAACAAAGAACAAAUUUGUAUCAUCCUGCUCAAAAUAAAAUUAACACCGCCGGGUUAUAAAUAUAUACCACUGGGCGUGUCUGACUACUACACAUAACAAACAUAUGAAUUGAUUUAGCAGCCAACCUUUUUUAAUUUAGAGAAGUUUGAUUUUAGAAACGUAGAUGAGAAAAGAGAUAAACCGACGGAGAAGAACUGAAUCGGAAGAGAUACGUACAGUACGUUACGUUCGGAGUAACUCGUUGCUCAAUGAUCGGUUUUUAAGCGAAAGACAUUAAUAUUAAUACGAACAAUCCGUUUUAAUAUUGCUCGUAGCUUAUUAAAACAGAUCAAAAAAAAAGGGGGGGGGGGUGGAAGGGAAGAAUAUAACAAACAUGUGAACUUUAAUUGAUUAAUAAGAUGGUUUACAUUAGACUCGAAUAACUAUUGAAUAUUUAUACUUUAAUUUAGCCUCCCGUUGCUUUCGUACCACCUCGCGUAUUUAUUAUAACGAGAUUCUUGAGACUUUCACUUCUGACCUCACUUCUUCGCAGUUUCUUAUAUUGUUCGAGGUUCCCGUGAAUGUAAAUGAUUUUUUUUUACGACUCUAAUAAAUCUACUUUUAACGGCAUCGCAAGAACCAGCGAGUUCAUUUUGCAGGAUAGCUAACAUUCUUAGGCAAAUUAACUCUUUACGAUCCAGUGUCACGUAUGGCGUCGAGCUGAUAAACGUUUGCCAAGGAAAAAAGUGUUGACCUGCUCGUUAAAAAAGAUGAAAGAAAAUAUCGAGCAGAGAUCAGUAUCGUGAUAACGUAUUUCCCUGAAAAAUCGGAAAAUUUCUAUCGAUACGCCCUGUAUCUCGGUUGAAGUUGCACGAAAUGCCAACGAAACUUCUCGAACUGUUUUCUAAACGGGAGCCAUUCACACUUUGAAACCUCGAGCAGUAUCAGUAGACGUCGGGCGUAAAUAUACGCGAGCGUGUACUCGCCGGUGUAUUUCUGUUCUCGAGUCUGAUCAACGAGAAAGCAUGUCCCGCUUCGUAUUACGCAAGUUUGCAAUUUCGUUCGUAUAGUUGCCAGAAAUCUUUCGGAACUUGGCACGCUCCCUACCGUUCGUAAACCGCUUGAAACUUCGAAACCCAAACUCCGUAUCCGGAGCGUUCUCAUACACCAACGAAAAAUAAACGAGUUGUUCCCAGAGUGUUAGAGCAGAGCCGUGCGGAACGUCUUCGACGAGAUGGCGAUCGGACGGCGAUCGAACGGCGAUCGAACGCGACAUCGAGCCGAAUAUAAAGAUGCGGAAUUCGAGGGCCGACGAUCGGGUUAAUGGCGAUCGUGCUAAUGGACGACCGAAGGAAGAAGAACGAAAGUACGACAAGAAACGUAUUCUACGGUCGUUAACGAUAAGAAGAACAAUGUAGAUACACGCAGCGAACACGUUCACACAUGUACAUGUACGCACACGAUAAACGAGCAAAGACAAACAUACAGACACUAUCACACGCGUAUAUACAAUAUAACACGAUACUACAAUGUACACGUACAGACGAAGCAUACCCCGUAGGUUGGGUGAUUACACAUCUCGAGGCGAUUAUACAUAUAUAGGUAUAAUUAAUUAUAAAUAUAUAUAUAUAUAUAUAUAUAUAUAUAAAUAUAAAUAUAUAUACAUACCAGCACUUGGUAGAUAUAGGUACACCCAUACGUUUACCUAUACUACCUUAAGAAAAAAUAAAUAAAUAAAAUUAAAUGAACAAGAGGAAGACACUUCUACGUGGCUGCGACGCGACUAGGAGGAGAAAGAGAGCGCGAUGAGAAAGAAAGUGAUGAGAAGAAGAUACAGAACCGGAGAAAAACGGGGAGAGAAGAAUUGGACGGUGUUGCAUGUUACACGACAAGAGCGUAUAUAGCGGCAGUGCGAAUAUACAUACAUACAUACAUAACACACAAUAGCGUAGACUUAAUAGAAUCUGUGAGAGUGUGACUGACUUAAUCGAGAGAGCGUGAAUCGUACGUGAAAGAAUGUGCGUGUGUACACUAUUGCAUACGUGAGUAUUUCCGUGGUCUGUAUUUUAUUGCGGAAGUUCCUGUUCCUCGAGAAUUAACGAGAAGAAGUUUAAACGAAGACGAGAUGGCAGCGACGUUGCAAAAUACAUAUAUAACGUGUAAUCGAGACAAAAUCGAACCGCGUAAAUUACCAAGUUUUUUGUAGAUCCUUAAAGAAAGAAAAAUAAGAAAAAAAUAUAUAUAUAUAUACCGAUUGCGCGGGUGCCUCGAUAUCUGCCCGAUUGUUCGAUCUUUUUCCCUGCGUUUCGUUCGAGAAGAGUCGAGAAUAUCGUUUUGCACCGCGACCGCGAAGAUCACUUUUUGUUCGCAAAAGAAAUGAAAUAAAAUCAAUUGAGAAACGUGAUACACACACACACACACACAUAUAUAUAUAUACUUACGUAUAAUAUUUUCUUUUUGAGAUUUAAUGAAACGACGAGAAACAAUAUAAAGCGAAUAAAAGAAAAGAGAAACGGGCAGAUUACGGUACGCCCUUAAUAUAUAAUUAGCCGUGCGCCAUUAAAGAAACCGUUUUUUGUAAUAUCCGAAUAAAAUGCAUGGUCGACGACAACAUAUAUAAAUAUCAGCUCAAUUACCAUUGAUCGUCCCACAGUAAGGCGAUUGUCCGCUGAAAAAUAACCACUCCCAACCCUUCAACGAAUAACGUUAUCAGAAAGCGCGCGUACGUAGACAAAAAUUUAUUACUUUACUAGUAAUCGCGACACAGAUUGUGCGGUACAAAUGAAAAUUCUAUCGACGAAAAGAAGAAUCCUAGGCCAACUUCGAUGCUCACGAAACGCCAGAUAGAAAACUGUUCGUUAUACAAGAGAAACGUGAACGAUUUAUAUAACCUACCAAAACACCAAAGAAUACACGAAAAGCGAAACUCAACGAAAGCAACGUUCAGUCUUUGAUACUUUCCAAACCUACAUCUCUUUGUUACUCGCGUUCCACCAUUGCUCUUCUUUCUAUUUCUGUUACUUGAUUUUACAGCUAUUCUAAUAACAUUACGCUUGACCAUCGCCGUUACGCAACUAGCUGAACAAACGUUAAACCGUGCCCGCCGUGUUACGCGGAUCACGUAAAUCGAGUUACAGUUCUCUCUCGACCGACCUCAGUCCCGAUAUUUUCAACGAGCAUCUUGGCAACAACGAGGAGAACUCGUGCGAGCUUUCUUUGUAACAGGUCAAUAACACGAUACCUAUUCUAUCCUCUCCUAUUUAGCAAUACCUAUCGACACAAAGAAAAUUUUAUCUGGAUCCCGACGUAAAUUAAUAUCGAGGGACGAUGUUCAAUCAAGACAGCCAAUAUUCCAUCUCCUCGCAAGAGUUCAAGAUGAAACUCUUCUUGCGAAACAAUUUACAUUCUCGACUACGAACGAAUUCUCGACUAGUAGAAUUGAAACAAUUAUUAUGACGAUACGGUGAUUUGUCGCGAUUCGAGCAUCGCGGAAGAUAGAUAUUUUCCAUUCCCAAUUGUAGGAGCCAAAAAUUUAGUGAUUGCAUUGCAUCUGACGAUUUGUGAAAUAUGAGAUCUCUAGUGACAUAUUUGACAAAUGUUUCUUAGAUUACACUUUUAAAGAUAUUUCAUUCUGCCAGUGGAGGAUUAAUUAUCGUUCGCAUCAUUUCGUCGUGUACCGUGCUUCAUUUUUGUGUUUCCAACGACAAUUUCAUCAACCAUAGUUCACAAUCUGAGCGCAAUUCGAGACGAAACGAUUAUAUUGUAAAUAAAUCAGAUGAUAGAAGAGAGAGACAAAAGAGUGAGACAGAGAGUGUGAGAGAGAGAGGGAGAGAAUGUGAGGGAGAAAAUGUAAAUGCGAUGGGAGAAAGAGAAAGAAUGUACGCAUGAUGAGUAUAUUAAUAAGUUAUAACACACAAUCGUAUUAAAUGUCAGAAUUGGAGAAUUGGAGCUCGCGCUAACAGACGAGAAUACAUUAAAGGGACGUAAGCGUGUCCUCGCGUUCGUGUGUCGUUUAACUAAAAAAUGAUUUAAAAAGAAAUAUAUAUAUAUAUAUAUAUAAAAGAAAGAAAGAAAGAAAGAAAGAAAGAGAUGGUCAAAACAAAAGAUAAAGAAGGAGUAAAUAAAACAGAGGCUCUCCUAGUUACUUGCUCAUUGAAAUAAUAUUCUAAAUAACGUUCGUAACGGAACAAAAGUCUAGAUAUGCAUCAAUGUAAUGAGAAAUAAUUUUACGUACAUAUACAUAAGAUUGACGCGCGCGCGGCUGCAGACAUGCGCGCGCACACACGCGCCAUUUCUUUACUUUUCGAACUACGGGCCUUCCGAGCCCAACCUUACCAGUGAUCCAUAUCGAUCUCGCAACACCGCGACUUGUUCCAUGACAUCGUAGAAUGUAUCGAAAGAUUGUAAUGUUUUAACAAUAUUUUCGAGUAACAGCUACUGUUAUAAAAAAAAAAAAUGAAAAAAAAGAUCCUUCCCUCUCUUUAUUAAUAUUUAUAAAUUCACGCUUUCUAGCAACAGAGUAUUGAUAUAGUAAUAAUGGAACUUUAACAUAAUCGAAUAAUAGAAAUUGUUAAAAGAAUAUUAUAAACAUUGAAAGUAGACCGUAGAAUCACUUUGCAACAUUGGUGCUUUUUGAAAGGAAAGGAAAAGAACAUUUCUAGAUUCUGCACUGAGAACACAACUCAUACUAUUUUCAACAAUUAAGCACGGUAUAUAUUUUUGAUUGAGAUAAAUUUGCGCUCUACGAUAGAUUUCUCUUAACCGAGGAUCCAUUAUAUUUAUAAUGCUAUUUAUUUUAUAAAAUUACAUACUCACUUGUAAAUUCAUUAAAAAUGAAAAAAUAGCUUUCAUUAAAAAAAUGUAUAAAGAAUUGUUCAUAGAAAGUUUUCUAAAUUACGUUUAUACAAAUAUAUCACAAAUAUUGAAAAAAAAUAUAUAUAUAUAUUGCGGUGGCGUGCGCAUGCCUGUUCGCAGCUAUACGUUCACGAAGGAUCACGAUUUCUAUAUUAUUAAGGUCGAUCGCUGUGAGCCGUACAAUUUACAGUGAGCAUGUACGACUUUAACAAUUAAAAGCUUAUAGCAGAAAAAAAACAAAACGAGUAUAUAGCAGCAGAAAAAGAAAAGAUACCACCCGAUACCUGACGCAUAACCAUCUUUAAAUGACGGCGAAUACAGCAUACAUUGUUACAUAAACGAGUAUAACGAGUAUAAGAAAAUCGUAUCGUUGCAUGACCGAUACCUAAAUGAAACUAUUACUACGUGAUACGACAUUAUUAUGUAAAAGUUUUUAUUGCGUGAGUAAAAUUAUAUUAUGGAUGAAAA